GAUGAACGCUGGCGGCGUGCCUAAUACAUGCAAGUAGAACGCUGAAGGAGGAGCUUGCUCUUUCCGGAUGAGUUGCGAACGGGUGAGUAACGCGUAGGUAACCUGCCUGGUAGCGGGGGAUAACUAUUGGAAACGAUAGCUAAUACCGCAUAACAGUAGAUAUUGCAUGAUAUUUGCUUGAAAGGGGCAAUUGCUCCACUACCAGAUGGACCUGCGUUGUAUUAGCUAGUUGGUGAGGUAACGGCUCACCAAGGCGACGAUACAUAGCCGACCUGAGAGGGUGAUCGGCCACACUGGGACUGAGACACGGCCCAGACUCCUACGGGAGGCAGCAGUAGGGAAUCUUCGGCAAUGGACGGAAGUCUGACCGAGCAACGCCGCGUGAGUGAAGAAGGUUGUCGGAUCGUAAAGCCCUGUUGUAAGAGAAGAACGAGUGUGAGAGUGGAAAGUUCACACUGUGACGGUAUCUUACCAGAAAGGGACGGCUAACUACGUG
RNAcentral lists this ribosomal RNA (496 nucleotides) under uncultured bacterium. RNAcentral's name for it is "partial 16S ribosomal RNA". It matches the Rfam family "Bacterial small subunit ribosomal RNA", at positions 28 to 507 of the family's 1533-position model. The record is from RNAcentral.